UACAGAGGGUGCAAGCGUUGUUCGGAAUUACUGGGCGUAAAGCGCGUGUAGGCGGUUUGAUAAGUCAGAUGUGAAAGCCCUCGGCUUAACCGAGGAACUGCAUUUGAAACUACCGAACUAGAGUAUCGGAGGGGGUGGCGGAAUUCCCGGUGUAGAGGUGAAAUUCGUAGAUAUCGGGAGGAACACCUGUGGCGAAGGCGGCCACCUGGAAGAUAACUGACGCUGAGACGCGAAAGCGUGGGGAGCAAACAGG
RNAcentral lists this unclassified non-coding RNA (253 nucleotides) under uncultured Myxococcales bacterium. RNAcentral's name for it is "contains 16S-23S intergenic spacer region". It matches the Rfam family "Bacterial small subunit ribosomal RNA", at positions 524 to 776 of the family's 1533-position model. The record is from RNAcentral. Lineage: Bacteria; Pseudomonadati; Myxococcota; Myxococcia; Myxococcales.